CUACGGGAGGCAGCAGUGGGGAAUCUUGCACAAUGGAGGAAACUCUGAUGCAGCGAUGCCGCGUGAGUGAAGAAGGCCCUUGGGUUGUAAAGCUCUUUCGUCGGGGAAGAAAAUGACUGUACCCGAAUAAGAAGGUCCGGCUAACUUCGUGCCAGCAGCCGUGGUAAUACGAAGGGACCUAGCGUAGUUCGGAAUUACUGGGCUUAAAGAGUUCGUAGGUGGUUGAAAAAGUUGGUGGUGAAAUCCCAGAGCUUAACUCUGGAACUGCCAUCAAAACUUUUCAGCUAGAGUAUGAUAGAGGAAAGCAGAAUUUCUAGUGUAGAGGUGAAAUUCGUAGAUAUUAGAAAGAAUACCAAUUGCGAAGGCAGCUUUCUGGAUCAUUACUGACACUGAGGAACGAAAGCAUGGGUAGCGAAGAGGAUUAGAUACCCUCGUAGUCCAUGCCGUAAACGAUGUGUGUUAGACGUUGGAAAUUUAUUUUCAGUGUCGCAGCGAAAGCGAUAAACACACCGCCUGGGGAGUACGACCGCAAGGUUAAAACUCAAAGGAAUUGACGGA
Molecule: ribosomal RNA, 558 nt
Filed under: uncultured bacterium
Lineage: Bacteria
Description: bacterial SSU rRNA
Rfam family: Bacterial small subunit ribosomal RNA
Source: RNAcentral